RNAcentral lists this ribosomal RNA (207 nucleotides) under uncultured bacterium. RNAcentral describes it as "partial 16S ribosomal RNA". It matches the Rfam family "Bacterial small subunit ribosomal RNA", at positions 568 to 774 of the family's 1533-position model. The record is from RNAcentral.
CGCGUAGGCGGCUAUUUAAGUCGGAUGUGAAAGCCCCGGGCUCAACCUGGGAACUGCAUCCGAUACUGGGUAGCUAGAAUGCAGUAGAGGGAGGUGGAAUUUCCGGUGUAGCGGUGAAAUGCGUAGAGAUCGGAAGGAACACCAGUGGCGAAGGCGGCCUCCUGGACUGACAUUGACGCUGAGGUGCGAAAGCGUGGGGAUCAAACA